CAAACACAAACAACUUUUUAUUAUUAUAAACCAGUCAAAACCAAUUUCGUUAUGAAAUUAAAAAUAUUUAAAACUUUCAACAACGGAUCUCUUGGUUCUCGCAUCGAUGAAGAACGCAGCGAAAUGCGAUACGUAAUGUGAAUUGCAGAAUUCCGUGAAUCAUCGAAUCUUUGAACGCACAUUGCGCCCCUUGGUAUUCCAGGGGGCAUGCCUGUUUGAGCGUCAUUUCCUUCUCAAACAAUCAUGUUUGGUAGUGAGUGAUACUCUGUCAAGGGUUAACUUGAAAUUGCUAGCCUGUUAUUUGGUUGUGAUUUUGCUGGCUUGGAUGACUUUGUCCAGUCUAGCUAAUACCGAAUUGUCGUAUUAGGUUUUACCAACUUCGGCAGACUGUGUGUUGGCUCGGGCGCUUUAAAGACUUUGUCGUAAACGAUUUAUCGUUUGUUUGAGCUUUUCGCAUACGCAAUCCGGCGAACAAUACUCUCAAAGUUUGACCUCAAAUCAGGUAGGAAUACCCGCUG
This 518-nucleotide ribosomal RNA is filed under the name Pichia sp. Its description in RNAcentral is "eukaryotic LSU rRNA". The stretch from base 72 to 225 matches the Rfam family "5.8S ribosomal RNA". The record is from RNAcentral. Lineage: Eukaryota; Fungi; Ascomycota; Pichiomycetes; Pichiales; Pichiaceae.